CCUACGGGUGGCUGCAGUGGGGAAUAUUGCACAAUGGGCGCAAGCCUGAUGCAGCCAUGCCGCGUGUGUGAAGAAGGCCUUCGGGUUGUAAAGCACUUUCAGCGGGGAGGAAGGCGGAGAGGUUAAUAACCUCAUCGAUUGACGUUACCCGCAGAAGAAGCACCGGCUAACUCCGUGCCAGCAGCCGCGGUAAUACGGAGGGUGCAAGCGUUAAUCGGAAUUACUGGGCGUAAAGCGCACGCAGGCGGUCUGUCAAGUCGGAUGUGAAAUCCCCGGGCUCAACCUGGGAACUGCAUUCGAAACUGGCAGGCUAGAGUCUUGUAGAGGGGGGUAGAAUUCCAGGUGUAGCGGUGAAAUGCGUAGAGAUCUGGAGGAAUACCGGUGGCGAAGGCGGCCCCCUGGACAAAGACUGACGCUCAGGUGCGAAAGCGUGGGGAGCAAACAGGAUUAGAUACCCUAGUAGUC
Molecule: ribosomal RNA, 465 nt
Filed under: uncultured Klebsiella sp.
Lineage: Bacteria; Pseudomonadati; Pseudomonadota; Gammaproteobacteria; Enterobacterales; Enterobacteriaceae
Description: bacterial SSU rRNA
Rfam family: Bacterial small subunit ribosomal RNA
Source: RNAcentral